CCGCGUGAGUGAUGAAGGUUUUCGGAUCGUAAAGCUCUGUUGCCAGGGAAGAACGUCUUAGAGAGUAACUGCUCUAAGAGUGACGGUACCUGAGAAGAAAGCCCCGGCUAACUACGUGCCAGCAGCCGCGGUAAUACGUAGGGGGCGAGCGUUGUCCGGAAUUAUUGGGCGUAAAGCGCGCGCAGGCGGCUGUUUAAGUCUGGUGUUUAAUCCUGGGGCUCAACCCCGGGUCGCACUGGAAACUGGACGGCUUGAGUGCAGAAGAGGAGAGUGGAAUUCCACGUGUAGCAGUGAAAUGCGUAGAGAUGUGGAGGAACACCAGUGGCGAAGG
This 331-nucleotide ribosomal RNA is filed under the name uncultured Paenibacillus sp. RNAcentral's name for it is "bacterial SSU rRNA". It matches the Rfam family "Bacterial small subunit ribosomal RNA", at positions 397 to 721 of the family's 1533-position model. Lineage: Bacteria; Bacillati; Bacillota; Bacilli; Caryophanales; Paenibacillaceae. The record is from RNAcentral.